GACAGAGGCCCCAAGCGUUAGGCGGAAUCACUGGGCUUAAAGCGUGUGUAGGCGGAUCGUUAAGUGUCUUGUGAAAUCCCACGGCUCACCCGUGGAACUGCUGGGCAUACUGGCGAUCUUGGGCCAACUAGGGGCAGCCGGAACAAGCGGUGGAGCGGUGAAAUGCGUAGAUAUCGCUUGGAACGCCGAAGGUGAAAACAGGCUGCUGGGGUUGUGCCGACGCUGAGACACGAAGGCCAGGGGAGCAAACGGG
This 253-nucleotide ribosomal RNA is filed under the name uncultured bacterium. Its description in RNAcentral is "partial 16S ribosomal RNA". It matches the Rfam family "Bacterial small subunit ribosomal RNA", at positions 524 to 776 of the family's 1533-position model. The record is from RNAcentral.